RNAcentral lists this ribosomal RNA (257 nucleotides) under uncultured bacterium. RNAcentral describes it as "partial 16S ribosomal RNA". It matches the Rfam family "Bacterial small subunit ribosomal RNA", at positions 524 to 776 of the family's 1533-position model. The record is from RNAcentral.
UACGUAGGGUGCAAGCGUUUAAUCGGAAUUACUGGGCGUAAAGCGUGCGCAGGCGGUUGUGCAAGACCGAUGUGAAAUCCCCGGGCUUAACCUGGGAAAUGGCAUUGGUGACUGCACGGCUAGAGUGUGUCAGGAGGGGGGUAGAAUUCCACGUGUAGCAGUGAAAUGCGUAGAGAUGUGGAGGAAUACCGAUGGCGAAGGCAGCCCCCCUGGGAUAACACUGACGCUCAUGCACGAAAGCGUGGGGAGCAAACAGG